RNAcentral lists this ribosomal RNA (429 nucleotides) under uncultured Arenimonas sp. Its description in RNAcentral is "bacterial SSU rRNA". It matches the Rfam family "Bacterial small subunit ribosomal RNA", at positions 355 to 776 of the family's 1533-position model. Lineage: Bacteria; Pseudomonadati; Pseudomonadota; Gammaproteobacteria; Lysobacterales; Lysobacteraceae. The record is from RNAcentral.
UGGGGAAUAUUGGACAAUGGGGGCAACCCUGAUCCAGCAAUGCCGCGUGUGUGAAGAAGGCCUUCGGGUUGUAAAGCACUUUUGUACGGAAAGAAAGCUUCCGGGUUAAUACCCUGGGAGGAUGACGGUACCGUAAGAAUAAGCACCGGCUAACUUCGUGCCAGCAGCCGCGGUAAUACGAAGGGUGCAAGCGUUAAUCGGAAUUACUGGGCGUAAAGCGUGCGUAGGUGGUUGUUCAAGUCUGUCGUGAAAGCCCUGGGCUCAACCUGGGAAUGGCGAUGGAAACUGUACGACUAGAGUGCGGUAGAGGAUGGUGGAAUUCCCGGUGUAGCGGUGAAAUGCGUAGAGAUCGGGAGGAACAUUCGUGGCGAAGGCGGCCAUCUGGACCAGCACUGACACUGAGGUACGAAAGCGUGGGGAGCAAACAGG